Molecule: non-coding RNA, 20 nt
Filed under: Arabidopsis thaliana (thale cress)
Lineage: Eukaryota; Viridiplantae; Streptophyta; Magnoliopsida; Brassicales; Brassicaceae
Source: RNAcentral
UGUUGUGGCGGCGAUAUAAC